GACGAGGGAACCUAGCGUUGUUCGGAAUUAUUGGGCGUAAAGCGGGUGUAGGCGGCUCUAUAAGUCAGGUGUGAAAGCCCGAGGCUCAACCUCGGAAGUGCACUUGAUACUGCAGAGCUUGAGUGUGGUAGAGGUUACUGGAAUUCCUGGUGUAGUGGUGAAAUACGUAGAUAUCAGGAGGAAUACCGGAGGCGAAGGCGGGUAACUGGGCCAACACUGACGCUGAGACCCGAAAGCGUGGGGAUCAAACAGG
RNAcentral lists this ribosomal RNA (253 nucleotides) under uncultured prokaryote. Its description in RNAcentral is "partial 16S ribosomal RNA". It matches the Rfam family "Bacterial small subunit ribosomal RNA", at positions 524 to 776 of the family's 1533-position model. The record is from RNAcentral.